CAUCUGGUUAGAUUAGCUCACGGGCAGGUUUUUGUAGAGGUGCAUAUGUCAGAGUCUUCACUGUGGCUCACGUUCGGUUCUGGGACCAAGCUGGAGAUCAAACGGGCUGAUGCUGCACCAACUGUAUCCAUCUUCCCACCAUCCACGGAACAGUUAGCAACUGGAGGUGCCUCAGUCGUGUGCCUCCUGAACAACUUCUAUCCCAGAGACAUCAGUGUCAAGUGGAAGGUUGAUGGCAGUGAACGACGAGAUGGUGUCCUGGACAGUGUUACUGAUCAGGACAGCAAAGACAGCACGUACAGCAUGAGCAGCACCCUCUCGUUGACCAAGGCUGACUAUGAAAGUCAUAACCUCUAUACCUGUGAGGUUGUUCAUAAGACAUCAUCCUCACCCGUCGUCAAGAGCUUCAACAGGAAUGAGUGUUAGACCCAAAGGUCCUGAGGUGCCACCUGCUCCCCAGAUCCUUCCAAUCUUCCCUCCUAAGGUCUUGGAGACUUCCCCACAAGCGACCUACCACUGUUGCGGUGCUCCAAACCUCCUCCCCACCUCAUCCUCCUUCCUUUCCUUGGCUUUGAUCAUGCUAAUAUUUGGGGAAUAUUAAAUAAAGUGAAUCUUUGCACUUGA
Non-coding RNA from Rattus rattus (black rat), 624 nucleotides. The record is from the annotation of a RefSeq genome assembly. Lineage: Eukaryota; Metazoa; Chordata; Mammalia; Rodentia; Muridae.